GAUGAACGCUGGCGGCGUGCCUAACACAUGCAAGUCGAGCGAAAAGACGAGGAGCUUGCUCCUUUGACGUUAGCGGCGGACGGGUGAGUAACACGUGGAUAACCUACUUAUAAGACUGGGAUAACUUCGGGAAACCGGUGAUAAUACCGGAUAAUAUAUUGAACCGCAUGGUUCAAUAGUGAAAGACGGUUUUGCUGUCACUUAUAGAUGGAUCCGCGCCGCAUUAGCUAGUUGGUAAGGUAACGGCUUACCAAGGCAACGAUGCGUAGCCGACCUGAGAGGGUGAUCGGCCACACUGGAACUGAGACACGGUCCAGACUCCUACGGGAGGCAGCAGUAGGGAAUCUUCCGCAAUGGGCGAAAGCCUGACGGAGCCACGCCGCGUGAGUGAUGAAGGUCUUCGGAUCGUAAAACUCUGUUAUUAGGGAAGAACAACUGUGUAAGUAACCAUGCACGUCUUGACGGUACCUAAUCAGAAAGCCACGGCUAACUACGUG
RNAcentral lists this ribosomal RNA (497 nucleotides) under uncultured bacterium. Its description in RNAcentral is "partial 16S ribosomal RNA". It matches the Rfam family "Bacterial small subunit ribosomal RNA", at positions 28 to 507 of the family's 1533-position model. The record is from RNAcentral.